Molecule: unclassified non-coding RNA, 117 nt
Organism: Papio anubis (olive baboon)
Lineage: Eukaryota; Metazoa; Chordata; Mammalia; Primates; Cercopithecidae
Rfam family: Metazoan signal recognition particle RNA
About the family: The signal recognition particle (SRP) is a universally conserved ribonucleoprotein. It is involved in the co-translational targeting of proteins to membranes. The eukaryotic SRP consists of a 300-nucleotide 7S RNA and six proteins: SRPs 72, 68, 54, 19, 14, and 9.
Source: Ensembl
GCUGGGCAUGGUGGUGCCUGCCUGUAGUCCUAGCUACUCAGGAGGCUGAGGUGGGAGGAUAGCUUGAGCCCAGGAGUUUGAGUCCAGCCUGGGCAACAUGGUAAGACCCUAUCUCUU